This 31-nucleotide non-coding RNA is filed under the name Homo sapiens (human). The record is from RNAcentral. Lineage: Eukaryota; Metazoa; Chordata; Mammalia; Primates; Hominidae.
UUGAUCUCCCAGAGAGAAACUGUAAAAAUGC